This 402-nucleotide ribosomal RNA is filed under the name bacterium. RNAcentral describes it as "partial 16S ribosomal RNA". It matches the Rfam family "Bacterial small subunit ribosomal RNA", at positions 355 to 776 of the family's 1533-position model. The record is from RNAcentral.
UGGGGAAUUUUGCACAAUGGGGGAAACCCUGAUGCAGCGACGCCGCGUGAUUUAGAAGGCCUUCGGGUUGUAAAAAUCUUUUCUCUGGGAAGAAAAUGACAGUACCAUAGGACUAAGGACCGGCUAAUUACGUGCCAGCAGCCGCGGUAAUACGUAAGGUCCGAGCGUUGUCCGGAAUCAUUGGGCGUAAAGGGUACGUAGGCGGGUAAGCAAGUUAGAAGUGAAAUCCUAUAGCUCAACUAUAGUAAGCUUUUAAAACUGCUCAUCUUGAGGUAUGGAAGGGAAAGUGGAAUUCCUAGUGUCGCGGUGAAAUGCGAAGAUAUUAGGAGGAAUAACGGUGGCGAAGGCGACUUUCUGGCCAUAACCUGACGCUGAGGUACGAAAGCGUGGGUAGCAAACAGG